GGGUUGUGAGGUUAAGCGACUAAGCGUACACGGUGGAUGCCCUGGCAGUCAGAGGCGAUGAAGGACGUGCUAAUCUGCGAUAAGCGUCGGUAAGGUGAUAUGAACCGUUAUAACCGGCGAUUUCCGAAUGGGGAAACCCAGUGUGAUUCGUCACACUAUCAUUAACUGAAUCCAUAGGUUAAUGAGGCGAACCGGGGGAACUGAAACAUCUAAGUACCCCGAGGAAAAGAAAUCAACCGAGAUUCCCCCAGUAGCGGCGAGCGAACGGGGAGCAGCCCAGAGCCUGAAUCAGUGUGUGUGUUAGUGGAAGCGUCUGGAAAGGCGCGCGAUACAGGGUGACAGCCCCGUACACAAAAAUGCACAUGCUGUGAGCUCGAUGAGUAGGGCGGGACACGUGGUAUCCUGUCUGAAUAUGGGGGGACCAUCCUCCAAGGCUAAAUACUCCUGACUGACCGAUAGUGAACCAGUACCGUGAGGGAAAGGC
RNAcentral lists this ribosomal RNA (484 nucleotides) under Escherichia coli. RNAcentral's name for it is "partial 23S ribosomal RNA". It matches the Rfam family "Bacterial large subunit ribosomal RNA", at positions 1 to 515 of the family's 2925-position model. Lineage: Bacteria; Pseudomonadati; Pseudomonadota; Gammaproteobacteria; Enterobacterales; Enterobacteriaceae. The record is from RNAcentral.